UACAGAGGUCUCAAGCGUUGUUCGGAUUCAUUGGGCGUAAAGGGUGCGUAGGCGGCGGGGUAAGUCGGAUGUGAAAUCCCGGGGCUCAACCCCGGAACUGCAUUCGAUACUGCCUUGCUAGAGUACUGGAGAGGAGACUGGAAUUUACGGUGUAGCAGUGAAAUGCGUAGAUAUCGUAAGGAAGACCAGUGGCGAAGGCGAGUUCCUGGACAGUUGCUGACACUGAGGCACGAAGGCUAGGGGAGCAAACGGG
This 253-nucleotide ribosomal RNA is filed under the name uncultured bacterium. RNAcentral's name for it is "partial 16S ribosomal RNA". It matches the Rfam family "Bacterial small subunit ribosomal RNA", at positions 524 to 776 of the family's 1533-position model. The record is from RNAcentral.